Molecule: ribosomal RNA, 253 nt
Filed under: uncultured bacterium
Lineage: Bacteria
Description: partial 16S ribosomal RNA
Rfam family: Bacterial small subunit ribosomal RNA
Source: RNAcentral
UACGUAGGGGGCAAGCGUUAUCCGGAUUUACUGGGUGUAAAGGGAGCGUAGGCGGCGAUGCAAGUCAGAAGUGAAAGCCCGGGGCUCAACUCCGGGACUGCCUUUGAAACUGUGUUGCUAGAUUGCAGGAGAGGUAAGUGGAAUUCCUAGUGUAGCGGUGAAAUGCGUAGAUAUUAGGAGGAACACCAGUGGCGAAGGCGGCUUACUGGACUGUAAAUGACGCUGAGGCUCGAAAGCGUGGGGAGCAAACAGG